Molecule: long non-coding RNA, 812 nt
Organism: Glycine soja
Lineage: Eukaryota; Viridiplantae; Streptophyta; Magnoliopsida; Fabales; Fabaceae
Exons: 3
Source: RefSeq, a predicted model, not a curated record
GGAAAAAGGCACAAGCCAUCCAGAAGCAAAACACUGCCCCCCACGUAUUGUCUCGUGAGGGUUAUAAAUAUUUAGAACAAAAGCUCAUGGCUGAGAAGACAAAGAAAAGACUGGAAGAAGCUGCCCAGUCUGGAAGCACUGAGAGCAUCAUUGACCCUCCAUCUCCCAUCAGACGCCACGUGAAGUGGAAGAUGGCCCGCACGAAGAAAACUGGACAGAUGACGUCUAAGGCAACAAAGGAAAUAGCUGACAGGAUUGAAGCUGUGUCUCCAGCAAAACCUCCAGAAAGCCCGAAUGAAGAGGUCGAUGAUCCCCUGUACCUGAUGACAUAGACCAUCCCACAACUGUUUUUGAAGCCUCUCCAGGUUAUGUGGGAUGCUACCAUAUUCGGGGUGUUUAAUCAAAAUUUCUCGUUGUAUAUAAAGCACGAAGAUCUCUCUGAAAUUGCACACGGUGGUCAAUGUCUCAGCAUAUCUGUUAUACAAUUGUGGAUUCUCCAUCUGAUUGAGACAAGUGUGCGAGCGGGGAAUUCUGAUGUGUAUGGAUUCCUCGAGCCAUAGUCCAUUCAGAGAUCUGGACAAUCACAAUUUGAAUCCAAAAGUUACAUCAAGAGUUGGAUACAAAGUUCAAAAUGAGAUGUUUAUCUUGGAGCCUACUUAAAUGGGUAAGUCAAACACAACAAUUGAAUUUAAAUAAUCCAUACUACUACAAUAACCCAUAUUCGUCUCUACUACAACGGACACUGGCAAAUGGUCGUCAUUCUGCCUAAGGAAAACCUAGUUGUCUGGUUUUGUUCUUUACAUAACAGGCCA